GUGGGUGUAGCUCAGUUGGUAGAGCCCCAGGCCGUGACCCUGGAUGUCGUGGGUUCGAGCCCCACCACUCACCCCA
Molecule: transfer RNA, 76 nt
Filed under: Terriglobia bacterium
Lineage: Bacteria; Pseudomonadati; Acidobacteriota; Terriglobia
Description: tRNA-His
Rfam family: tRNA
About the family: Transfer RNA (tRNA) molecules are approximately 80 nucleotides in length. Their secondary structure includes four short double-helical elements and three loops (D, anti-codon, and T loops). Further hydrogen bonds mediate the characteristic L-shaped molecular structure. tRNAs have two regions of fundamental functional importance: the anti-codon, which is responsible for specific mRNA codon recognition, and the 3' end, to which the tRNAs corresponding amino acid is attached (by aminoacyl-tRNA synthetases). tRNAs cope with the degeneracy of the genetic code in two manners: having more than one tRNA (with a specific anti-codon) for a particular amino acid; and 'wobble' base-pairing, i.e. permitting non-standard base-pairing at the 3rd anti-codon position.
Source: RNAcentral